GAUGAACGCUAGCUACAGGCUUAACACAUGCAAGUCGAGGGACCGGCGCACGGGUGAGUGACACGUACCCAACCUGCCCUUUACUCGGGGAUAGCCUUUCGAAAGAAAGAUUAAUACCCAAUAUAAAGGAUGGGGAUGCGUUCCAUUAGGUUGUUGGUGAGGUAACGACUGACAAAGCCUUCGAUGGAUAGGGGUGCUGAGAGGAAGGUCACCCGCAUUGGAACUGAGACACGGUCCAAACGGCUACCGGAGGGAGGAGUGAGGGAGAUAUGGCAAUGGGCGCGAGCAGGAACCAGCCAGGUAGUGUGAAAGAUGAAGGCUUAUGGGUCGUAGACUUCUUGUAUGUAAGAGUAUGUAUUAUAUGAAUAAGGAUCGGCUAACUACGUGCCAGCAGCCGCGGUAAUUC
RNAcentral lists this ribosomal RNA (406 nucleotides) under uncultured bacterium. RNAcentral describes it as "partial 16S ribosomal RNA". It matches the Rfam family "Bacterial small subunit ribosomal RNA", at positions 28 to 526 of the family's 1533-position model. The record is from RNAcentral.